Molecule: long non-coding RNA, 668 nt
Organism: Panicum virgatum (switchgrass)
Lineage: Eukaryota; Viridiplantae; Streptophyta; Magnoliopsida; Poales; Poaceae
Exons: 2
Source: RefSeq, a predicted model, not a curated record
CCCCCCCCCCCCCCAGCCUAAGGUCGCGCUACAGUACAAAGGCGUCUCCUUCCAGGCGACUCCGUCGCCGGCGUCGAUCUCGCUGGCUGGCCUCUCCUCUGCUUGCCUUUUAGGCACCGGAGGAGUUGGAGAGAGCAGAUCGACGCCUGGCGGUUCUAGUUGAGUAGGUUUGAGGUAGGUGUGUAGAGUAGUGUAGUUGUCUAGGGGUUGAAUAAUCUGUGUUCUCCGGGUGAUGCUGUCCAUGGCGGCUUCUCGCCGGAUUUGGAGCUUGCUGAUGGUGCAGUCAGCGACGACACCGUGGGAUGUUGCUGCAGCAUCUGUCGUUGGCGACUCCACCCUCUCUAGCUGCUCUGCCAUGGCUGGAGUGGGGGUGCCAGAUGGAGGUUCCCUUGAUCAUUCCCAGCGAUGUGGCUGCCGAUGUUCUUUCAGCGUUAUUAGAUGCAUCUUGGUGUGGCUCCGAGGCGUUGGCUGUUGUGGCAUGUCCAAGGUUUGGGGCCUAUCGUCGUGCUGGUGGCCAGCUCCGUGAAGAUCUGGCCGGAGAAGAUGAAGACUACAGGGGUACCCUGGAUAUGCCUUGAUGUAAUUUUUGUUCUGUCCAGGGACUUGGAUGUAAGUCAGGGAUGUACUGUGCUCUCAAAUUAAUAUAAAUCCCCCCCCCCCCUUCGCAA